Molecule: long non-coding RNA, 1499 nt
Filed under: Struthio camelus australis
Lineage: Eukaryota; Metazoa; Chordata; Aves; Struthioniformes; Struthionidae
Description: lncRNA (ENSSCUG00000016171.1)
Source: RNAcentral
AUGAAACUAAAAUAGAGCUAAAAUUGAGCUGACUUCCUGCAUAAGUGAGAAAUUCAUUUUUGAAAUAAAAUCACGGUUGCUAUUGUACAACAGAGCUCUCAUUUGACUUGUGAGUAUGGAGGAUUUUAUCCUUAGUAAGCACAGAGUGCCAGCGAAUUUACACUGAUGCUUCAAUUAAAUCUGAAUUCUGAAGAUAAAGGAAAUAAGGACCCUGUGAAAACUAAGAUCGUCGCCCUCCUUUUUAUAGCUUUUCUAAGGAACAAGAGUGUAUGUCUUGAUGCACGCUGCAGCUAAACUUCUUAAUGUACUCUGAGGUCGGUCACCUGAGAGAGGAGCAAGGCUUUUGAACGGGGUGGUCGCACGUGUUCUGUGCGAGGCAGCAGCUGGAUAGGAGGGAACGAUGCUGUGUGGAUGCUGAUGGGGGGAAGCUGGAGUGCGAGAUUGUACCUUGUUAGGCAGAAGAGAAUAAAAGAUGGAGAUUUGUUGACCUGUGGGUGUUGAAAAGCUUAUAGGUCGCCACUUACUGACUUGGGCUUUGAGAAGACCGUUGGAGGAACCGCUGUCGGGACCCGUUGGGAUUCCUGAGCUACACGUGACAUGACCCGAUUCUUCUUUUCCCUUGUUAUUUAUGUCACUGCAAAGGGUCUGUAAGCACAAACAGACCAAAAGGGAACGCUGCGUUUGUAUUUAUGUAACGCAAGGGCCAGGAAUGUUCUGGUGCUACCAUCCACUUACUCCGGGGAUCUCUUCAAUUUGGUAACUGCAUUGCAAGAGGCUUGGCUCGUUCUUCUGGUGUCUCCAGCGAAGGUCCUCGUGAGCCGCUCCGGCAGAGACAGGGACUGCUCAGCUGCUGUGCCGUGGCGGAUCCUGCAACCGGCGGUGCAGCCGUGGCCUCUAGCCUGGGCACGCUUCUGCCGUGAGCCAGGCCAUGGACUUUGGACAAGGGAAAAACUAAAGAGUGUUUCAGUGACAUGGAGAGAAGAAGGAGAAAAAGGUCCUGCGCGUGGGCUCAGACAGCCUGGAAGCGCCGGCAGCAGUCAGCAGGAGGAGAGUGUCGCCGGGAUGUGCCGCUGCAAGGCCGAGAUAACCCAGCUCCUCGUCUUGCCCUUGGCUGCUAGGGUCUGCGUGCAGGCGGAGCUCUCCUGGCGCGGGGCGCUGCACAACGCCAUGCGCAGCCGUACCCCGAUGGCCGAGCGGAGAAAUCUGCGCUGCCGUGCUGUACGCUCGGUACGAGACACGUUUCUGGAUCAGUAAUCUAUCAUAAUUUUGUUGGACAGAAGGGAGUAGCACCAGGUUUCUUUCUUCUGGAGGAGAGAGAUUUUGAUUAAUUUUUCCCCUUCUCUUCAGGGUUAGCACUUUGCAUUAUAUAUGUUUCAAGGCAGGGAAAUUGCUUGCUUGACAGCUGUGGAUAAAACAUGAAACUUUAGAUAAUGUUUUAAAUUCACCAGGGACAAACCAGCUUCAAUGUAAUUGAUAAAUUAAACCGAAUUCAAAUAUCA